AAAGGGAAAGAAGGUAACGUUCUAUGUGAUGGUGCUGAACCUUUGAUGAAGGAAUUGCUGGGUUUGAAGCAUUUAAAUGUUUUAAGCUGGUCCUUCGGAAGUUCACUUGCUGUCCAAAAGUUUUUGAAAUAUCCAAAGCUGGUGAGCAUCACUCAAUCUGUAUGGGUUGAAUGUGGCACGUAUACAAGGCCACCGUUCAAUGUCUUACAUCUGGCAUACAUGGAGAAUCUUCAGGAGUUAGAACUUGAAUCCUGUAAUUUGGAAGAGAUGAAGAUUGACAGCACAGAAGAGGUAAAGAAACUUUUUCGAAAUGGUUUCCGCAAUCUUAACACAGUUGUCCUAAGGUCUUGCAGAGGGAAGGACUUAACGUGGCUUGUUUUUGUUCAAAAUCUCAAGCAGCUAAAUAUGCAGGGUUUUACUAUGGAAGAGAUAAUCAGUGUUGAAAAAUUGAGUGAUAUUUCAGAGGUAAUCGGGUCAGAGCAUAACUUUUUCCCACGACUCGAAUAUCUAACCAUGUGGCGGGGAACAAAUUUAAAGAGCGUUUACCCGAAUCCCCAGCCUUUUCCAAAGCUGAAGAAAAUUCAAGCAUUUCAUUGCCGACAGCUGUAGAAGCUCCCACUCAAUUCCAGCAGCGCGAAGGGACGUCGAGUUGUGAUGACAAUGCUAUAUUUGCUGCAGGACUUGAGUAAAAAUAAAAACAGCAAGAUUUGAUUAUGCUGUCAAUAAAAUCCUGCAAGAUUGUAGGAAAAAAAUUUGUUUUUAAAUUUUAUGAUAUCAGAUAUAUGUUAAAGAUAUGUAGGCAGAUUUUUUGGCUUUGUUUGUUUCUUUUCAUGUAUAAAUUCAAAUACUGCAAUAAUGAAUAAAAUACUGCAAUUAACAGACCCAAUUUCUAUGUGUUCUCUUUUCUUUGUUUAAAACCAACAAGGUGGUAUCAGAGCCCUUAUUCUUAAGGGACUUGUAACGUGAUUAGAGAGGCUUCCUACACUUCAAUAUGGCAGGAAAUGGUUUCUUAUCUGCUCCUCCAGUUUUCACAGGUGAAAAUUAUCAAAUAUGGGCUGUGAAAAUGGAAUCUUACUUGGAUGCAUGUGACCUAUGGGACUUGGUGGAAGCAGAUCCAGAGGAUCCACCAUUAGCUCAUAUGAGGAAUAACAGGGAUGAAAGAAAAUGGAGAUAUAAGGCCAAGACAUGCAUUCACUCUGCAGUUUCGGAGACAAUUUUUACAAAGAUCAUGACUUGUGAAACAACGAAACAGGCAUGGGAUCUUUUGAAACAAGAAUAUCAGGGGAACGUCAGGACAAAACAAAUGCAGGUCCUGAACCUGAGAAGGGAAUUUGAAAUGUAGAAAAUGAAGGAGACAUAAACAGUUAAUGACUAUAAAGACAAGUUGAUGAUGAUUGCCAAUAAAAUUAGAAUGCUUGGGGAAGAGUUUUCUGAUAGAAGGAUUGUAGAGAAGAUUUUGGUGACCUUGCCUCAGAGAUUUGAAUCUAAAAUCUCUUCACUUGAAGAGUCCAGAGAUAUGUCAACAAAGGAGAGCUUACAGAAAGGAGGAGAUAGUUGAAGGAGCAUUUCAAGUGAAAGAGGCUGAUCAAGCUCAGGGAGGCAGCAAAGAAAAGAAACAGUGGAGUAAGAAGAUUUACAAGAAGGGGGAAAGUAGCAUCAAUGAAGGCAACAAGGGCAAGCACUCCCCGUGUCCUCACUAUAAGAAAACCUCUCAUCCGCAAAAGAAAUGUUGGUUUAGGCCUGACAUUCAAUGCAGGGCAUGCAAGCAAAUUGGGCAUAUGGAGAGGGUGUGUAAAAACAAACAGCAAGAAGGACAUCAAGCUCAAGCAGCAGAACAACAACAGGAUGAACAACUUUUUGUUGUAUCUUGUUUUUCGAGUAACAGUUCGAGUGAUGAUUGGCUCAUCGACAGCGGAUGCACAAAUCACAUGUCUUUUGAUGAAUCUCUUUUCAAAGAAGUAAACAAGUCAGAAGUGUCAAGAGUUAAAGUUGGCAAUGGGCAGUAUAUUGAAGUGAAAGGUAAAAGGACAGUUGCAAUAAAAAGCUCAGCAGGUAUCAAGUUAAUUUCUGAUGUAUUACUUGUUCAUAAAAUUGAUCAAAAUCUACUGAGUGUGGGACAAUUGCUUGAGAAAGGUUAUUCUGUUGAAUUUAAGAAUAACAUGUGUGUCAUUACUGACCCAAAUGGUGUAGUGUUGUUCUCUGUGAAAAUGAAUAGCAAAAGCUUCAGCUUAAGUUGGAACAAGGAUGAAUGUAGUGCAUAUCAAUGUACUUUGAACCAGGCUGAGUUAUGGCACAAGCGGAUGGGGCAUUUUCAUUAUUCUGCAUUAGAUUACAUGCAGAAAAAUGAUCUUGUGCAAGGAAUGACUUUCAAUGGAGGAGGAGCAUCAGUGUGUAGAGUCUGUCAGCUGGGAAAACAAGCUAGAUUGCUAUUCCCUGUUAAUAAGGCAUGGAGAGCAGUUGAGAAGCUUCAGUUAAUCCACACAGAUGUUUGUGGACCUAUGAGGACUGCAUCCUUAAAUGGUAAUAGGUACUUCAUGGUUCUUAUUGAUGAUUUUAAUAGAAUGUGUUGGAUUUACUUUCUCAAACAAAAAUCUGAAGUUGCUAGUGUAUUUUGGAAGUUUAAAAAAUGGAUUGAAAAUCAAAGUGGUUGUAAAAUCAAGGUGAUUAGAUCUGAUAAUGGGACUGAAUAUACAGCUGAUAAAUUUGCUAAGUUUUGUGAAGCUGCAGGGAUUGAACAUCAGCUUACAACAACCUAUACACCUCAACAAAAUGGAGUCAGUGAGAGGAAAAACAUGACAGUCAUGGAGAUGGCUAGAUGUUUGUUGUUUGAGAAGGAAAUGCCAAAAAUGUUUUGGGCUGAGGAUGUUAAUACUGCUGUAUUUCUGCAAAACAAGUUACCAACAAAGGCUUUAAAGGGAAAAACACCUUUUGAAGCUUGGUUUGGUUUUAAACCCUCUAUUCAUAACUUGAGAAUUUUUGGUUGCAUGUGUUUUACUCAUGUUCCAGAUGCAAAAAGAGAGAAGUUGGAUCAAAAGGCAGAAUAUGGAGUUUUUGUAGGAUACAACACUCUCACCAAAGGUUAUAGAGUUUAUCAACCUUUGACGGGAAGAAUCAUAGUGAGUAGAGAUGUUAAAUUUGAUGAAACUGGAGGAUGGAAUUGGGCAACAGCUGAACCAAAGCAAGUUUAUGCAGAAGAAAAAACAUCAGAAUUGCAAGAUGAUGAUAUAAUUGAUGAUGAACCAAUAAGAGGUACCAGACCACUUAUAGAAAUUUAUCAAAAGUGCAAUAUGGUUGUGCUUGAACCUGCAGGUUAUAAUGAGGCUGCUAAAGAUCCAAAGUGGCUUGAACCAAUGGAAGAUGAGAUCAAGAUGAUUCACAAGAAUCAAACUUGGGAGUUGGUGGACAGACCACUACACAAGAAAACUAUUGGUGUGAAAUGGGUUUAUAGAACCAAACUCAAUGCUGAUGGUUCUGUAAACAAAUUCAAAACAAGGCUAGUUGUAAAAGGGUAUGCUCAACUAUUUGGUGUUGACUUUUCUGAAACGUUUGCACCUGUAGCAUGGCUGGACACCAUCAGAUUGCUUUUAGCACUUGCAGCACAAAAGCAGUGGAAAAUCUACCAGCUUGAUGUUAAAUCAGCUUUUUUAAAUGGCUAUUUGGAUGAAGAAAUCUUUGUUGAGCAACCUGAGGGUUUUGUUGCAGAUCUGAAGAAAGUAUAUUUGUUAAAAAAAGGCAUUAUAUGGCUUGAAGCAGGCUCCAAGAGCUUGGUACAGCAGGAUUGAUGAUCAUUUGCUGAACAUAGGCUUCAACAAGAGCAUGAGUGAAUCAACUUUGUAUAUUCAAGUAAUUAAUCAUGAAUUGAUUGUUGUUUCACUUUAUGUUGAUGAUUUUCUUGUCACAGGAAGCAAUGAAGAAUUAGUGAAGCAAUUUAAGGUUCAAAUGAUGCAAGCAUUUGAAAUGACUGAUCUAGGAGAGAUGACUUUCUUUUUAGGUCUGGAGAUUCAAAAGUCACAGCAAGGGAUCUUCAUUGGACAGCAAAAAUAUGCUAAAGAAGUGCCAAAGAAAUUCAACAUGGAGGAUUGCAAGUCAGUAUGUACUCCUUUAGCUCAAAAUGAGAAAUUUAGUAAAGAUGAUGGUGCUGAAAAGAUUGACGAAGCAUUAUAUAGGAGUAUUAUAAGUUGCUUGAUGUAUUUGACAGCAACAAGACCUGAUAUAAUGUUUGAUGUAAGUUUGCUGUCCAGAUAUAUGCAUUGUGCAAGUGAAUUGCACUACAAAGCUGCUAAAAGGGUGCUCAGGUAUAUCAAGGGAACUUUGGAUCAUGGAAUAAAAUUUGAGAAGGAAGACAAGCUGAUUUUGCAUGGUUUUGCUGAUAGUGAUUGGGCAGGAUCCUGUGAUGAUAUGAGGAGCACGUCAGGCUACUUGUUUAGUCUUGGUUCAAGUUGUUUCUGUUGGAGUUCAAAGAAGCAGGAAAUCGUAGCUCAGUCUACUGCUGAGGCUGAGUAUGUUGCAGCUGCUGCUGCAGUCAAUCAAGCCUUAUGGCUAAGGAAGCUUAUGACAGAUUUGAAAAUGAUUCAGGAUUAUGCAACUGAAAUCUUUGUUGAUAAUCAAGCUGCCAUAGCAAUUUCUAACAAUCCAGUGUUCCAUGGGAAGACAAAGCAUUUCAAAAUUAAAGUAUUAUUUUGUUAGAGAAGUCCAGAAGAAUGAUGAAGUAAGGCUCGUGUAUUGCAAGACUGAAGAUCAGCUAGCUGACAUUUUGACAAAGGGACUGUCAAAGUCAAGAUUUGAGUUGUUGAAGAAAAGAAUUGGUGUCUGCAGCAAAAAUAGCAAGGAGGAGUGAUGACAAUGCUAUAUUUGCUGCAGGACUUGAGUAAAAAUAAAAAUAGCAAGAUUUGAUUAUGCUGUCAAUAAAAUCCUGCAAGAUUGUAGGAAAAAAAUUUGUUUUUGAAUUUUAUGAUAUCAUAUAUAUGUUAAAGAUAUGUAGGCAGAUUUUUUGACUUUGUUUGUUUCUUUUCAUGUAUAAAUUCAAAUACUGCAACAAUGAAUAAAAUACUGCAAUUAACAGCCUCAAUUUCUUUGUGUUCUCUUUUCUUUGUUUAAAACCAACAAAUUGUCAUCGAGGGAACGAAAAAAUGGUGGGAAGAGCUACAAUGGGAGGAUCAAGCCACCCAAAAUGCUUUCUUUUCCUGUGCCGUACUUUGGGAGGAUCCUUAUUAUUAAUAUGUUUGAAUAUGUAUUUCCUUUUUCUUUUUUUUCUUGCUAUAGAGUUGCAUGAUUGUGAUGAUCCUUAUUAUUAUUAUCCUUUUUUUUUUUCACAUGAAGUUCAGUAACUACUUCCGAGAUUAAUAAGAUCCAACUCGUUUUUGGUUUAGUCAAAAACUUUUUGUGGCUCUAAAUCCUUUUUAACACCAGGCCAGGCAUCCACAAAUAUAUUGACACCAUUUUAUUUAUUGAUGUUUAUAUAACUGAAUUGAUUACAAAUUACCCUUUUUGUCCAGUGUGUUCAGAAUAUACUCUGCACAACUAACACAAAAAUAAACAUGUAACAUACUAAUCGUUUAUGUUAAUUUAUGGAGGCCUUAUUGUCCAAGGCAUAUGUAAAACCAUUUCACAUUCGGCAUUGUAAUGUUUAUGGACGGAUUUAAAUGAUGUCACACAAAGUCACAAAUAGUUAAAAAAAAGAAGGUGUUUGUUUUAAAAUGUUGGCAUAUUUAUGGAGUGGGAACUCAGAUGCUGAACUCUGAAUGGGCUGGAAUCGGAAUGGGUUAGAAUCGGAAUGAGCCGGAAUGAGAAUGGGGAAUGAGAGUCAAAAUAAGUUGUUUAUUUGAACUGUAGGAAUCGAAAUCGGAAUGAGUUAGAACCCCAUUAAUGUGUUUACUUUAUCUAAGAAUCGAAAUCGGAAUAAGUUAAGUUGUUUUAAGUUACUAAAACACCCUUAGUUGUUAAUAAUAAUAAUAAUAGUUGUCCUUUGGUAUUAAUGAUAAUAAUAAUAAAUUUAAUAAUAACAUUAUAAAUAAAUAAAUAAUAGUAAUAAUUAAUGAUAAUAAUGAAAUUAAAUAACAACUACUAAUACUACAAUAAUAAUAAUAAUAAUAAUAAUAAUAAUAAUAAUAAUAAUAAUAAUAAUAAUAAUAAUAAUAAUAAUAAUAAUAAUAAUAAUAAUAACAACAACAACAACAACAUUAAUAACAAAUAAGCAAACAAUGAAAUAAUACAAACACCAAUCUACAUAAUUUUAAUGUACAAUAAGUGGCCGAACAAUAUAAGAAAUUAAUAAUUUAAAAUAUAAAAUUAUAAUUCCCAAAACAAACAUUGUGCUCCUCUUCACCGGAUGUAGCAGAUCGCGACGAAAAAUGGCGGCAGGAUGAGCGCGACCACGGUGGCAACAGAUCGAUCGGGACCACGGCGGCAGAUCGUGACGAACGAAAGCAGCAGAUCGCAGCCUUUUGACACCCCCUCGAAGACCCUCCUUUAAAUUCCUUAUAACUCUUUAAUUAAAAUUAUUUAAAUAAUUAAAGAUAAAUUAAUUCCAUUUUAUUUUGAUGGAAAAUUUAAUUAAUACUUAAAUAAAAUUAUUCUUUUAACAUUUUUCCACCCACCUCAUUUCAUAUAUAUAUAUAUAUAUAUAUAAUUUUUAGAAACUUUUAAUAAUUUAUAAUCUUUUUAAGGUGAAAUUUAAUGAGAAGAUUAUUAAUUUUAAUUUAUGGAUUAGUAUUUUAUAAAUUAAACCAAGGUACUUUGAUAAAUAAAAAUUAAAACAAGUUUUAUAAGGAUUUUGGAGUGUACGAAUUCAGAAUAUAGAUUUUCAUGGGGACGUUGAAUAUGCUGAAGCUGAAGCUAUGAAUUUUAGAAUAAAAAUGGCAAUAGACUUUGGUUUAAUGCCAUUAAUUGUUGAAUCAGACUCGAAUACUAUUUUAAACUUGGCGAAAGGUUUUGAAAGAAGUAUGAAAGAAAUAUCAUGGUUAAUUUUCGAGAUUCGAAAUUGUAUGGUUGUGAAAGACCACUUCGAAAUCAAUCUUACAUAGAGAAGUAGUAGUGAGACCACUCAUAAAUUAGAUAAAUAUGAUGUUAACAAUUCAGGCUGUGUAAUUUGGUUGGAGGAAAUUUCAACUCAUGUAAGUCUUUUUCCUUUAAGCGAUUAAUUGAAGUUUUCCAUUUCCAAAGAGAGAUAGAGAGAGAGAGAGAGCUCAACUCAAAUGAAAGUACGAAACAAAGAGUAAAUCCUGAUAGUAGAAAAAUGAGCCAUGAGUAGAACUAUUCGCACCUUUGAAAGCCCUCAUAAAAAUCUUUCUUCAAUAUGUCCCGCUAAAUCAUUUAAAAAAUAAUAUUAUUUCUAAGGGCAGAGCUAUUUGCACUCUAAAAAUUAUUCUCAACGUUUUAUUACUAUAUACACAUAUUUAUUAAUUUAAAAAAAUGAACUAUAUUUUGUACAACUAUGAUGCCACUUCCACCUCCAAUUGAAUGUCAGAAAAUUCAAAGUUUGUCAAAAGAGGAUGGUAAAUUAAGCCCCCUUUUUUUUUUAAUCUGGAUUUGGUUGAACAUUUUUAUGUCGCAAAAAUGUUUGCUGUGUUGUAAUGCCUAAGUGUUGCAGACUAGUUUGUAAGAGUCUGAAUAAUUGUCCAUGUUACUCUGGUAUUGUGGAAUGCCAUGUAUUUUUUGGCCAAAAGAAAAAAUCAAGCAACCAAUGUAAACUUGUUUAAUAUCAUCAUAAUAUAACUGAAAAAGAAGUAAUUAUAGUCAUACAAAAAAAAUUAAUAAUUGUCAUGUCCUUAAUAAUAAUUUAUAUCAUAAAUAUUAUUGAAAUAAUUUUUUUUUAUAAAAUUAUCAGUGUUUAGUGUAAUUUUUAGAGUGUAUAUAGCCUCAUUCUAUUUCUAAACCCACAUAAGUUGAUUCCAAAAACACCCUUGGCUUACACACCAACCCCAUUUUCACAUUUUCUUCGUCUUGGGGAGCUUGAAACCCAAAUCUGAUGGCUUCAACUUUCGAAUAAUCAUUAUCUCCAUUAGAACUUAUAAUUUUAAAAGCUAUUUCCAUAAUAUUUUCAUUAGAAUUUCUUAUAACAACAUCCAACAUUGGUUAUUGAUAUUUUAAGGUUUCAUCUUAAAUAAUAAUAACAAAAUAAUUAAAAUUUUAUCAAAAUUUAAGGAAAUACAUUGUACUUUGAUAAACAAGGAAUGUCAACUAAAUAUCGUCAAAAUAAAUAAUAAAUUUUUAAGUCGAGUUUUGGUUUCACAUAAUUGUAAUUAUGGAGACUAGUUAUUCGAAUAAAAUUUAAUUUCUUCUGUUUAUCAUUGUAACUUUACAUAGGGACAAUUGCAUGAUUAUAAAGGCAGGGUUUGAUAAGGAUUUUUUGGAGGUACCAAUAGGACCACUCAUGAGCCAUGACAAAAUUAAGCCCAUGCGAGGCCCACCUAAUCCAUUUUUACAUUUAGCCAAUUAGCCUGAAGAAUAAGACGAUAAUAAACAGUAAGCCUAAAUAAUAAGAUGAUAUGAAAGUAAGAAUAAGGUUAAGAUACCAAUUUUUUAGUCUUAACUUCUUAAGUCUUAAGUCUUAAUGUAACAUGUCAUUCAUUUAUUAGACGAUAAAUUUCAUAACUUGUAAAAUUAUUUAACCACCAUCCAAUAAAUGAUUGUCAUAUCUAUUGAAAUUUAAAUUUAAAUUUUAGAAUACUUAGCAUUGAGCUGAAUCUAAACGAUUUUAUUUUCUAUUAUUUUUAUUUUAUUUUAAUUUUUUUUCACAAUCGGAUUUUUCUUUGAGACAAUAGAAAGCCUUUUGGCUUUAAGUUUCUGAAAACCAAUAAUAAAAAAUUAUCCAUGAGUUUCUGAAAACCAAUUAACUUCAAAAUCUCUUCCAGCGCUAGGAGGAACAUCUUCAAUAACUUUUUCAUGACCUUUUGGGUAAUAAAUCCCAGUUCUUUCAUGAGGAACCCAGCUACAAUUCCCUUCAUUUUCUCCCACAUUAUUAUUCAUCUGCUGGCUCCUCAUCACAUUUCCUUCUUCCGCAUUGGAUUUCAAUGCUGUUUCUCUUAUCAUAUCAUUAGAACUUGCUUUCUUUUGAAAGGAUUUCCUCAUUAUUGGCCUAUAUGUUUCAAAAAGACUUAACAAAUUAAUAAUGUAAAAACAAAGACUAAAAUAUUCAAACACUCAAAUGAAUGAAAGUAAUCUCUUUUUAUUAUUGCGUGGACAGUGGCGAAAUCAGGAUUUUGGAUGUCAUCAAUAAUAGAGAAACAACAAAUUUUAAGUAGGUUAUAACACAAGAAUAUAAACAUAUGGGGGCUACAAAAUAAAAUUAUCAGACAUAAGGAUAAAUUUAAUUGAAGACUUUCAUAUUUCUUGAUAAUGUUUUUUAACCUGAGUCCCCUGUGGAGACAUAUUGAUUCAGUUAAUAAAACAUUUAAUUCUAUGUACUUAACCAACCACUCAUAAUUAGUAAUUACAUAAUUUGAAACUAUUAGGCCUAUUUCGAACGAACUGUUUCAUAACAAAAUUAAUUUAGAUAAAGUGAAAAGAUUUAUUUACAAACAUACCAUGCAAUAAUGAAGUGCGAUUGUCAAAAUGAAAUGAUGAAAUAGCAAAGUAGAUAGAUAAAAACAUGGAGUUAAAGGUGGGAGCUCCUCUAGCAAAUGAUCCUGUCAUCUUUUUCUUCUUUUUUCUCUCACUUUCUCUCUUUCCAAACAAUGUGGGUGGAAUGAAUUGAAUUAUGAUUUAGAUAGAGAGCUCUUUACAUAGUGAAGUUAAAUAAGAGAAUAUUGUUAUCUAUUUCUCUCAUCUCUAGGGAGAUCGUUUAUUGUACGUCAUUUUCUGUUUGGAUAAAUAUUAAAUUAUAACACUCUUUCUUGAUCAUUGGGGAGCACUCAUUGCAGAGCAUGGCCUUCUUUUGUUCCCUUUUGUUUUGUUUUUGUUUUUUAGUCAUCUAAGUUAUGGGACAUGGCUUGUGGACUCAGCUUUUAGAAACUUUCCCUAGAUAAGUAGUUGAAUCUAGGGGAGGUACUUUUUAGUUUUAUAAGUGACAUUGAUUCACCUCAUGAUUAGUGGCCAGAGAGAAUAAUUACGAAAAAAAAAUUUUAAUUGUUAAUUAAUUUUGUUGAAUAUAUUAAAAUAGCCAAGUUAAAUUUAUAAAAAUAGUUUCAUAAACUCUUAAAUCCAUAAAAUUUUAAUUUUGAGGAUUACAAAAACCACACUUUAACAGAUAUACAAAAAGAUUGUAAAGAUAUAAGAUGAGUCGUUAAUAAUUGCACGUGCAAACAUCGUAUAUUCUUUAUAAUUAAUUGUGCAGAUUUUCAUGACCAAUGCACCAGAUUUUGAUGACCAAUGCACCUGGGUGCGAAAACAAAAAUUAGAACAAAAUAUAUUAAUAAGGGAAGGCCACUCUUUUGUCAAUAUAUAUAUAUAUAUAUAUAUAUAUAUAUAUAUAUAUAUAUAUAGAGUUUGUUAUAAAAGAUUACCUCAGUAUCAAACUCUCCCGAUUCAACAUUGACAUUGAUGACAGUGAAAAUCUUUACAAGAUCCACCAAUAAUCCAGGUCGAUCAGCCGUCUCCACCAAAAGCAAACUUCAAUAAAACAAAAGGUAAACUAAACAAAAAUAGUAAGGACCAAAUUAUCUGACUACUUCAGUUAUGGGCAGGAAUUGCCACUUGGGCUGGAGUAUGAGUAGUAAUAAUGUGGGACCAAAGUUUGGUGGAUAGCAAAAGCCCCAUCAUCUAGAUAAGAGAAUGAAUUAUGCAUUGCCUUCGGUUGGGGCCAUCAUCAUAGAUGCUUAUGUGGGUUGCUAUGUCCACAUCAACCUGACAAAUUCCAGCACAACAAGAUUUGAGACAAGAUUGAAGUGGGACGUUAUCCUUCCCAUAAUAACUCAUAUACGUAGUUUUUAACAUUCACAACAUGAUAUUAAUUUCAAUGGCAGGCAAAUUGAAUAUAAUGUCUUUAAAGAAAAUGAGGAUAAAAGUGAAGUAAUAUUUGGCCUAAGAGAACUCUAAAACAACUUAGUUUCCUAUUCAAAUGAUCACUAGUGAGAAGAGCCAAAAAUAUCAAUAAUCUGAAAAAUCAAAAUAAGACCAGAAAGCAAAAACCUGUUGUUUUGGAGGAUCAACGCCAAAGGCAACACCCAUUGCCAACUGGGAACUUGAUUCCUGAUUCCAUCACCAACACAAAUGGAAUAAGCUUUUGAAUAAGACAAUUCCUACAGGUGCUCCACCAAGUGAUAUCUCAAGAGAGACAAAAAAAAAUGAUUACCGGGUGAUACUGAAGUAGAUUGUUUAUAACUGUCAAACAAAUUGCCUCAAGCACCUCAGGAUCAUCAACUUUCCUACCAGUAUCACCGCACACAAGCAUCAUGACCAAAUUAAUCAAAACCACAGUGGGAAUCUAUUGCAAGAACUGCUCCAAAAAACACCGAUGGCUCUUUGGAUCAUUGAUUUUAGGUUCUAGUAUGUCCAAAAUUUUAACGAUUUCAACAUUAGUGAUAAACAUCUAUUUGCAACAGACUGAUCAUACUUGUAUAUGGAGCAUCACAAGUAGGUAUUUACUAUGCUCAUCAAAUAUAGACCAGAAGACGUUGACAACAAUUAAAGGGUAUUAGUGAAUGAAACUGCAAGCAGAGAAUACAAAUCAGCUCAGUAAUGCAAGGGCAUGAAAAGCAAAAUGCAUAUGCAUCACAAAAUUAUAGAGAUAUAUAAUUUCGCAGUCAUAUGAUGAUAUUGCAGCGGUGAAGCCGUGCGUGAGGUUAAGGCAAGCGAUGGAAUGACUUGCGUUACAAAAGAGGUAUUUGCAAUGAUUGUGUACUGGACGGAAAUUGAAUCCAUGUUUAAGAAUUUACCGCCGGGGAAAAAAUGUCAAUACAAAGUCAAUGCGAACGAAUAGUGAAGUCAGCAGUCGCAAAGGCAAAGUUCUUAACCAGAUGGACUCCAGAUAGAUUAGCGGUGGCAGUUUCACAGCUGACAGAUGAACAAAGAAUGGCUGCUUGUCAAAUGGGCUUUGGUAGUUUUCUACAACUGAACCGUGGCAAGCUAAAAAGGAAACUUUGUGGCUAGUUAAUUGAGAUGAUUGAUACUUUGAGGUACAUUUUAGAGUUGAAUGGUAUUAGCUUUCGAACAAGAUCAUCAAAGAAACUCCACCAACCAGGAAAUUUAGACUUAAUCUAUGCUCUGCAAAUUCAUAUACUCUCUAAUAUGAAACUACUUUUAUGUGUUUUGUUAUUCCGACUUGGUAACGUUGUUAUGGAAGCCUGACAACUAUUAUGUCCGUGCAAUUUUUAUUGUAUCUUUUGUUAUGUCAUGAUAUCGAAGCUUGGUUUUCUGACUCCAACUACUAAGAACUGCAGUUGCAGCAUCUUUUGAAUAUUACAUAUGUGCUUGUAGUGUCUCCACGGAUUAAAAUCUGCUAUUUAAGUUCUUCUACCGCCCCCGCUUCUUCUUUCAUUUAUACUUGCUGCACCAUUUACUUCACACUCUGUAAAGCCAUAUGAAAGCUUGUUCAUUUAUGUUCACUUGCAAUUCAAAAGCAGUGUUUAUUUCAACUGUCAAAUUGACUACUUGCACGUAUUGAUUUCAGUCGAAACAAGGUUAUUGGUCGAUCCAGAAAUUGAAUCCAUAUGGCCAUUCCAGCAUCAUUCAACCACCUAAUUUCAAAUAUAUAAAUUAAUUCAACCCACUUAAGUGAUCAAAGGCGUGGAACAAAUCAUGAAAGAUUUUUCAGCUAUCAUAAAUUCGAACGGAUGUAGUUUGUAUUCUUUCAGGCUUAGACAGAUUUUUUGCAACAUAAACUUGUAUGUAAUGUACAUUUUUUUGUUCCUUACAAAUUAAUUGCUGCUAAAAUAAUUGUUUCGACCAAUAUUUAUUGUUAUAAUAGAGAAACCUUUUCUUGCAACUCAAACAGUUCCGAUGGCAUGAUCUGCAUCCCCUGUUUGCCUCUUGGGCUGCACGAUCUUGCUCCUUUUCAUCAAACGGCAACUUCGCUGCAGACAAAAAGAGGGGGUACAGUGCGCAGGGGCACCGUAGAUGUAGCCCAAAAAGAUGAUUUUGUCCCUCCAUGUCUAAGUAUUUUAACCAAAAAAUAAUAAUAAUUCCUUACAUCAUCAAUGAUUGCACUUGUAAAUCUAAGGGAUUAGAAUUCUGUAUUGAAUUUAUAUUUUAUUAAAUAAAAAAUUAAUGUUAAUUUUUUUUUUUUUUUAUCUAGCUAUCAUUGACUUUAUAUUUUGGAUCUUCAUCCAGAAUUAAGGCACAAAAUUUUUGUUCUAAAUAAAUAUUCUCAAUAUAAAUUUAUCACUUAAAUAAUAAUGAUAAGAUUUAAUAUUAAUUCUAUCAUUACUGAAAUGGAUUACAAAUUUUAUAUGACUUGUAAACGUAUCAUUAUGUUCUUGAUAUUUGAAACAUGAAUCAAGCAACAUAUGUAGCAUAUUUUUAUUUCAGUGUCGUGCUUCUCUAAAAAUUGUUGAAAGCAGAAGCCAAGCUGGCAUGCCUCCUGAGCUGGUGUGGUAGGUGAGUUGGAUUUGUUGAGCUGGCAAAUGAAAUUAUUUAUGAUGAUGCUGUGAAUUUAAUUGUCGUAUAAUGUUUGUGUAGAAUUAAGAAUGGAAGACAAUGUCGAUGAUGACAAGAAGAAUAGCAGCGCAUGUGAAUUGAAUAGUUGCAUCUUCUAGAAGCUUAAUGUGAUUGGUUCACAAUUGAAUUGAAUAGUUGCAUCUGCUAAUGAAGAAUAGCAGCGCAUGUGAAUUGAAUAGUUGCAUCUUCUAGAAGUUUGUCUCUGUAUGCAAACUAGCAAAGCUCUGUAUUUCAUUUUCAUUCAAGUCAUCAUAAUCAAUAAAGGCCUGAUUCUCAUACUCUGUUUGCAUUUGAAAGCAAUUCUUAAGAAUUUAAGUAAAAUGACCCUCACCAAAUUAGCUUAAUUCUUUUCAUUGUACCCAUUGCUUCACUUCCUCUUUUCGUCAACGACAAUGGGUAACUUAAUCUCAACCUUCUUACCAGCAGACUUAUUCGAUCGAACUUCAAACUGCGUUGGUGAACAAGCAAAAUAUGUAUGGGGUCUCGAAAAAAAUCUUCGGGUCUUGGAGACUGAAUUGCACAAAUUGACUCGAGCAAGGGACGAUCUGAAGACCAAGGUUGAGGUCGAAGAACAACGACCUCGAACCAGACGAACGAACCAGGUCGCAGGGUGGCUUGAAGAUGUGCAAAAACUGGAAACUGAAUUUACCGAGCUGGAACGAGUUAGAGCUCAAGAAAUGGAUAGAUUGUGCCUUGGAGGCCUCUGUUCCAAAAACUUCGUUUCAAGCUACAAUUACGGGACUCAGGUGGUCGAGUUGACGGAUCGAGUGAUCAAUUUAAAGAAAGACGGAGAAACAAUUGAAGUCGUUGUUGAGAAGGCGCCGGAUGGUGCAGCAAUUGAAUUACCUGUUGAUCACACGGUUGUUGGUCAAGAACGAUUACUUGAUCAAGUUUGGAGAUGUAUCACUGAUGAGGAAAAGAACAGGGGAAUUAUCGGCUUGUAUGGUAUAGGGGGAGUCGGCAAAACUACCCUUUUAAAACAAGUCAACAACAACUUCUGCCAUCAACGGCAUAUUUUUGAUGUUGUUAUCUGGGCGGCUGUGUCAACACUUCAAGAUGACAUUGGAAAAAGGAUUGGCUUUUCAGAAGCCAAGUACUGGAAGGAAAAAAGUCUUCAAGCUAAGGCUGUGGACAUCGCUGGCAUUUUAUGCCGAAAGAAGUUUGUGUUGUUAUUGGAUGAUAUAGGGGAACGGAUUGAUUUAACACAAUUGGGUGUCCCUCUUCAAAAACUAAAAGAUGGGUCCAAAGUAGUCUUGACAACUCGUUCAGCUGGUGUUUGCGAUCAAAUGGACGCUGAAAAGGUGGAAGUGUAUAGUUUGGCGCAUGAUAAAGCCUGGGAAUUAUUUCAGGAGAUGGUCGAAAGAUCCACUCUUGACAGUCAUACCAGUAUUCCAGAGCUAGCCGAAGCCUUGGCAAGAGAGUGUGGUGGGUUGCCGCUAGCGCUUAAAACAGUGGGUCGAGCCAUGAAAAGCCAAAGGAGAGUUGGAGAUUGGAAACGUGCAAUUAACAAAAUGAGAACAUCAGCUUCUAAAUUCUCAGGUAUGAAAGAAGAGGUGUUUUCGCGUUUAAAGUUCAGCUAUGAUAGUUUGUCUACGGAUGAACUUCGUUCCUGUCUCCUGUAUUGUUGUUUAUACCCUGAAGACUACAAAAUUCCUAAAAGGGAAUUGAUUGAUUAUUGGAUUAGUGAAGAAUUUGUGUGUGAUUUUGAUGGUGGAUGCGAUUUUAUUGAUGACCUUCUUCAUGCAUGCUUAUUGGAGGAAGAAGGCGAUGAUCAUGUAAAGAUGCACGAUAUGAUUCGUGAGAUGUCAUUAUGGAUAGCGUGCACGGUAGACAAGGAGGAGCAGAACUUUCUGGUUCGCGCUGGAGUUGAAUUGACCGAAGCACCAAAGUUUGAAGAAUGGCAAGGUGCCAAACGGGUAUCUCUGAUGGGAAAUGGAAUUAGGAGCUCAUCGGAAAUUCCCACGUGUCCGCGCCUCGUAACUUUACUUCUUUCAAUCGAUGUCUUCUCUUAGAGUAUUAAGUCUAAGAGGAAAUUUUCCCCUAAGAACACUACCUUCAGGGAUUUCAGGUUUGGUUUCAUUACAUCAUCUUGAUCUAUCAUCGACUAACAUAACUGGGUUGCCGCAAGAGCUGAAGGCGUUGGAGAAGUUGAGAUAUUUGAACUUGGACUAUACACGGUUUUUGUCUAUAAUUCCACAUCAAUUGAUAUCUGGUUUUUCAAAGUUGGAGGUACUCAGGUUGCUUUCACGCGGUCGCUGGAGCGUAAUAGAAGGUAACGUUCUAUGUGAUGAUGCUGAACCUUUGAUGAAGGAAUUGCUGGGUUUGAAGCAUUUAAAUGUUUUAAGCUGGACCUUCCGAAGUUCACUUGCUGUCCAAAAGUUUUUGAAAUAUCCAAAGCUGGUGAGCAUCACUCAAUCUGUAAUGGUUUGCCAAUGUGAAAGUCCACCGUUCAAUGUCUUACAUCUAGCAUACAUGGAGAAUCUUCAG
RNAcentral lists this long non-coding RNA (16020 nucleotides) under Citrus maxima (pomelo). Its description in RNAcentral is "long non-coding RNA (CMAX_LNC000888)". Lineage: Eukaryota; Viridiplantae; Streptophyta; Magnoliopsida; Sapindales; Rutaceae. The record is from RNAcentral.